This 525-nucleotide ribosomal RNA is filed under the name Saccharomyces pastorianus. Its description in RNAcentral is "eukaryotic LSU rRNA". It matches the Rfam family "Eukaryotic large subunit ribosomal RNA", at positions 104 to 644 of the family's 3401-position model. The record is from RNAcentral. Lineage: Eukaryota; Fungi; Ascomycota; Saccharomycetes; Saccharomycetales; Saccharomycetaceae.
AAAGCUCAAUUUGAAAUCUGGUACCUUCGGUGCCCGAGUUGUAAUUUGGAGAGGGCAACUUUGGGGCCGUUCCUUGUCUAUGUUCCUUGGAACAGGACGUCAUAGAGGGUGAGAAUCCCGUGUGGCGAGGAGUGCGGUUCUUUGUAAAGUGCCUUCGAAGAGUCGAGUUGUUUGGGAAUGCAGCUCUAAGUGGGUGGUAAAUUCCAUCUAAAGCUAAAUAUUGGCGAGAGACCGAUAGCGAACAAGUACAGUGAUGGAAAGAUGAAAAGAACUUUGAAAAGAGAGUGAAAAAGUACGUGAAAUUGUUGAAAGGGAAGGGCAUUUGAUCAGACAUGGUGUUUUGUGCCCUCUGCUCCUUGUGGGUAGGGGAAUCUCGCAUUUCACUGGGCCAGCAUCAGUUUUGGUGGCAGGAUAAAUCCAUAGGAAUGUAGCUUGCCUCGGUAAGUAUUAUAGCCUGUGGGAAUACUGCCAGCUGGGACUGAGGACUGCGACGUAAGUCAAGGAUGCUGGCAUAAUGGUUAUAUG